GUGUUACUUCUUCGAUUAGCAUACCCCGAACUCCAAAAUUAAUCAAGAGACAGAUGGAAGAUGACAUGCAUUGAUAUGGGCCAGUUGAGCAAAUGAACUUCUUCAAUAGCCAAAAUGGAGGCAGAUGUUAGGACAAAGUUGGCACAAACUCUUAAUGAGAUAAGGUACAUUUUGGGUUUUUUCUCUUUAAUUUUUCCAAAUCUUAAUCUGCACUGACAA
RNAcentral lists this long non-coding RNA (219 nucleotides) under Nicotiana benthamiana. Its description in RNAcentral is "long non-coding RNA (NBEN_LNC000581)". The record is from RNAcentral. Lineage: Eukaryota; Viridiplantae; Streptophyta; Magnoliopsida; Solanales; Solanaceae.